Molecule: long non-coding RNA, 894 nt
Filed under: Triticum aestivum (bread wheat)
Lineage: Eukaryota; Viridiplantae; Streptophyta; Magnoliopsida; Poales; Poaceae
Description: long non-coding RNA (TAES_LNC022260)
Source: RNAcentral
UUGGUGUCUUUUUGGAUCAGGCUCUGGUAGUUCAUGUCCUCUUCUCGCCCUUCAAAAGUUUUGUUGUCUACUCCCUCCGUUCCUAAAUAAUUGUUUUUCUAGAGAUUUUAACAAGUGAGUACAUACGGAGCAAAAUGAAUGAAUCUACACUCUAAAACAUGUCUACAUACAUCCGUAUGUUGUAGUCCAUUUGAGGUGGCUAGAAAGACAAUUAUUUGGGAACGGAGGGAGUAAUUUUUAGCCCGGCCUCUGUUAGUUCAUGUUUUUUCUUUUUUCUUUCUUUACAGGUCCGGAGGUCCCUACGCCUUCAAAGUAUCUCCUGUCACAUGCUCACUCAAAUGAUUGUCCAUGGAGCCAGCAAGCGAAGAACUGGAGGAAGGCGAGGGUCACUUAGCUAGCCGCACCGGUUCCUAUUAUAUCCCCCCUGUCUUCUUCGUCUCUUGCUCUCUCUCUUUCCAGGAUGGUGGAGGGUGGACUGAGGGUGACAUUGAUUAUGUGGGUUUAGAUAUGCUAAAUUUAUUGAUUAGGAUCACAAAAGGUUUGUAAAUUUCCUUUAAUGUUUGGAUAAAAUUUCUUUUAAUGUAUUUGUUCUUUCCUUUUGUCUGGACAUAUGUUGAUUAAUUAAGAGGAAUGACAAGAAUAAUAUUCCGUCCAGAUUUUAGUGUGUGUGAUUUUGACUAAACUCACAACUACUGAACUUGGUUUCUUCAAAUACCUGUGUGAUUUUGGGAAAACCAUUCAUACUUUGGCCAUACAUGUUCCCUAUUGUAUUGCUUUAAUAUUUUAAACAUUCUUUGUUUCUAGGGAGGUGUGAAAUCAAUCAAAGUGACAACACAAUGUUUUCCGGAGAAUGAUUGUUUUGUUUAGUAAGUGUAACAUAUUAUAAUAUCAAUG